GUAAAGCAAUCAGGCGGACAGUUGACAGCCACAGGCCAGGAAAGUUACUUGAUUGGCUGGGCUUCGGGUGAGCGCAGAGAUAGGUAGGCCUAAUAACAGGUGUGUGAGGGACUGCCCAUCAAAUUCAAAUUCAAAUCAAUAUUGUGGAGGACUGGUCAUGCUGAGAGUAACGUCAGUAUUUUACAGACUGUUUUGGUGUUACUAUCAGUUUCCUAGCUAUUCUAGCAACAGCGCUAACGCUAAACUAGCGCCUUUUAGCCGACUUUUGACGGGACAUGGUAAGCUAGCUGCAGUGCUAAGCUAGUGCGUUCCCGUGGACUCAAUAGACGAAAACAGGAGACCAGCGGGCUCCUCUGGCAACAUGGACCAGACGUCUCUCCGCCGUUAAGGAGGAGCUACGAGCCGUUUCCAGCCUCAAGGGACUGACAGAAACGUAGAACUGCAGCUUGCGCCCAUUCAGUGUUACAUUUUAACAGCAGAAACUGCCGGUGGUGUUAUGAGUUGCCACUCGGCAUCAUGAGGAAGCUUCUGAAGGGAGCCAUAACUGCCGCCAAAGGCCUUUUAAAUCCUCGGAUUUGAUGGCUUGAGGAUUCGGCAGGAGGAUUCAAAAAGGAUGAAGAGAAAAUUGCACAUCCUAAAGAAAACAGAGCAUUUGCAUCCCUGUGUCCAGGAUGAAAAAGGGAGAAGAAGAAAUGGAAAUGCAUACUAAUUUAUCAUUGGCUUUUACUGCUCCUUGAUGGUCCAUAACUCACUCUGACCAUGAUUCCCUUUUCCCCUUCAUACUGCCGGAUUCAAAAUCCACUACGCCAUGUUUUAAUGACCUUAUUAUAGGCAAAUCUACACUGUCCAAUAAAAACUUUACACUUUGAACUGUGA
Sander lucioperca (pikeperch) is the source of this 876-nucleotide long non-coding RNA. RefSeq lists it as uncharacterized. The transcript has 3 exons. NCBI's taxonomy places the organism in Eukaryota, Metazoa, Chordata, Actinopteri, Perciformes, Percidae. The record is from RefSeq and is a predicted model, not a curated record.